RNAcentral lists this ribosomal RNA (253 nucleotides) under uncultured bacterium. RNAcentral's name for it is "partial 16S ribosomal RNA". It matches the Rfam family "Bacterial small subunit ribosomal RNA", at positions 524 to 776 of the family's 1533-position model. The record is from RNAcentral.
UACGUAGGGGGCAAGCGUUGUCCGGAAUUACUGGGCGUAAAGGGCGUGUAGGCGGCCGAUCAAGUCAGGUGUGAAAUUCCAGGGCCCAACCCUGGACGUGCACUUGAAACUGGUUGGCUUGAGUGCAGAAGAGGAAAGUGGAAUUCCCAGUGUAGCGGUGAACAACACACACACUGGGAGGAACACCAGUGGCGAAGGCGACUUUCUGGUCUGUAACUGACGCUGAGGCGCGAAAGCUAGGGGAGCAAACAGG